This 400-nucleotide ribosomal RNA is filed under the name uncultured Hypotrichia. Its description in RNAcentral is "partial small subunit ribosomal RNA". It matches the Rfam family "Eukaryotic small subunit ribosomal RNA", at positions 30 to 432 of the family's 1831-position model. The record is from RNAcentral. Lineage: Eukaryota; Ciliophora; Spirotrichea.
GCUUGUCUCAAAGAUUAAGCCAUGCAUGUCUAAGUGUAAAUAAGUCUAUACUGUGAAACUGCGAAUGGCUCAUUAAAUCAGUUAUCGUUUAUUUGAUGAUCUCUUACUACUUGGAUAACCGUAGUAAUUCUAGAGCUAAUACAUGCACAAAAUCCCGACUUACGAAGGGAUGUAUUUAUUAGAUAACAAACCAAUAUUCUUCGUGUCUAUUGUGAUGACUCAUAAUAACUGAUCGAAUCGCAUGGUCCUUGACCGCGAUAAAUCAUUCAAGUUUCUGCCCCAUCAGCUUUCGAUGGUAGUGUAUUGGACUACCAUGGCUUUAACGGGUAACGGAGGAUUAGGGUUCGAUUCCGGAGAGGGAGCCUGAGAAACGGCUACCACAUCUAAGGAAGGCAGCAGG